GUUUGACCUCAAAUCAGGUAGGAGUACCCGCUGAACUUAAGCAUAUCAAUAAGCGGAGGAAA
RNAcentral lists this ribosomal RNA (62 nucleotides) under Saccharomyces cerevisiae (brewer's yeast). RNAcentral's name for it is "partial 26S ribosomal RNA". It matches the Rfam family "Eukaryotic large subunit ribosomal RNA", at positions 1 to 59 of the family's 3401-position model. Lineage: Eukaryota; Fungi; Ascomycota; Saccharomycetes; Saccharomycetales; Saccharomycetaceae. The record is from RNAcentral.